UCUCCGUUGGUGAACCAGCGGAGGGAUCAUUACCGAGUUUACAACUCCCAAACCCCUGUGAACAUACCUAUCGUUGCUUCGGCGGGAUCGCCCCGGCGCCUUCGGGCCCGGACCCAGGCGCCCGCCGGAGGACCCAAACUCUCGUCUUUUUUAGUAUUCUUCUGGGUAAAACAAGCAAAUAAAUCAAAACUUUCAACAACGGAUCUCUUGGUUCUG
This 216-nucleotide unclassified non-coding RNA is filed under the name plant metagenome. RNAcentral's name for it is "partial contains small subunit ribosomal RNA, internal transcribed spacer 1, and 5.8S ribosomal RNA". The record is from RNAcentral.